CUCCCAUCCUCUUAUAUUCCUCAGCGAGAUCAAUGAGCUGCCAGCCUUGUAGUCGUUCUGAAUCAUUUUGUUUGGGAUUAUAAGAAAAUGCAUAGAGAUCUUCAUAUUUUGCUUGUUUUGACAGUUGUAGCAAAGAGUUGUAAAUAUCAUGGCAAUCUCUUUCUCUGGGAACAAUGAAAUGCACAGUUCUGAAGUUCUUGCACUGUAUCACAAGGGGGCAUCCAGAAG
This 228-nucleotide long non-coding RNA is filed under the name Homo sapiens (human). RNAcentral's name for it is "LNC_000989". Lineage: Eukaryota; Metazoa; Chordata; Mammalia; Primates; Hominidae. The record is from RNAcentral.